Molecule: long non-coding RNA, 663 nt
Organism: Pseudophryne corroboree (corroboree frog)
Lineage: Eukaryota; Metazoa; Chordata; Amphibia; Anura; Myobatrachidae
Exons: 5
Source: RefSeq, a predicted model, not a curated record
UCAGCCAAUCAGGUGAGCGCAACGAAGUUGCGCUUCCUGAUUGGCUUAGAGACCUGUCAGUGACAGCUGUCACUGACAGAUCUUAAUCGUGGAAAGGUGUCCCAUGUGUCAACAUGGGACCCCUUUCAGUCCGUUUUUGGUGCGGGUAAAUGCGCUUUCUUUUUUUGCCAAGUACGUGGAUUUAUCUCUGGACCCUGAGGUCCUGCGUUGUAUCUUCCCAAGUGGCGUGGAUGUGAGGAGACACGACAUUUCACCCGAUGUUCCAUGGGCGACCUACUGGUGAUGUGGACCUGACCCUCCGCCAUGUAGCAGACAACCACCUCAGGUACUGCGGUGUAUCUUCCCAAGUGGCGUGGAUGUGAGGAGACACGACAUUUCACCCGAUGUUCCAUGGGCGACCUACUGGUGAUGUGGACCUGACCCUCCGCCAUGUAGCAGACAACCACCUCAGGUACUGCGGUGUAUCUUCCCAAGUGGCGUGGAUGUGAGGAGACACGACAUUUCACCCGAUGUUCCAUGGGCGACCUACUGGUGAUGUGGACCUGACCCUCCGCCAUGUAGCAGACAACCACCUCAGAUCUUCCGGUGUAUCCUUCCUAAGUGGUGUGGACGUGAAGAGACAGAUCCCCUGAUGUUCCCUGGGCAAUCUUACAUACAAUUCAA